This 253-nucleotide ribosomal RNA is filed under the name uncultured bacterium. RNAcentral describes it as "partial 16S ribosomal RNA". It matches the Rfam family "Bacterial small subunit ribosomal RNA", at positions 524 to 776 of the family's 1533-position model. The record is from RNAcentral.
UACGAAGGGGGCGAGCGUUGUUCGGAUUUACUGGGCGUAAAGGGCGCGUAGGCGGCCCUUCAAGUCAGGCGUGAAAGCCCCGGGCUCAACCUGGGAGGUGCGCUUGGGACUGGAGGGCUGGAGUUCGGGAGAGGAGCGUGGAAUUCCCAGUGUAGAGGUGAAAUUCGUAGAUAUUGGGAAGAACACCGGUGGCGAAGGCGGCAUCCUGGACCGGUAUUGACGCUGAGGCGCGAAAGCGAGGGGAGCAAACAGG